GGGCGUAAGAGCUCGUAGGUGGUUUGUCGCGUUGUUCGUGAAAACUCACAACUCAAUUGUGGGCGUGCGGGCGAUACGGGCAGACUGGAGUACUGCAGGGGAGACUGGAAUUCCUGGUGUAGCGGUGGAAUGCGCAGAUAUCAGGAGGAACACCGGUGGCGAAGGCGGGUCUCUGGGCAGUAACUGACGCUGAGGAGCGAAAGCGUGGGGAGCGAACAGGAUUAGAUACCCUGGUAGUCCACGCCGUAAACGGUGGGUACUAGGUGUGGGUUUCCUUCCUUGGGAUCCGUGCCGUAGCUAACGCAUUAAGUACCCCGCCUGGGGAGUACGGCCGCAAGGCUAAAACUCAAAGGAAUUGACGGGGGCCCGCACAAGCGGCGGAGCAUGUGGAUUAAUUCGAUGCAACGCGAAGAACCUUACCUGGGUUUGACAUGCACAGGACGCUGGUAGAGAUAUCAGUUCCCUUGUGGCCUGUGUGCAGGUGGUGCAUGGCUGUCGUUAGCUCGUGUCGUGAGAUGUUGGGUUAAGUCCCGCAACGAGCGCAACCCCUAUCUUAUGUUGCCAGCGCGUCAUGGCGGGGACUCGUAAGAGACUGCCGGGGUCAACUCGGAGGAAGGUGGGGGAUGACGUCAAGUCAUCAUGCCCCUUAUGUCCAGGGCUUCACACGUGCUACAAUGGCCGGUACAGAGGGCUGCGAAUCCGUAAAGGUGGAGCGAAUCCCUUCAAAGCCGGUCUCAGUUCGGAUCGGGGUCUGCAACUCGACCCCGUGAAGUCGGAGUCGCUAGUAAUCGCAGAUCAGCAACGCUGCGGUGAAUACGUUCCCGGUCUGCACACACCGCCCGUC
RNAcentral lists this ribosomal RNA (844 nucleotides) under uncultured bacterium. Its description in RNAcentral is "bacterial SSU rRNA". It matches the Rfam family "Bacterial small subunit ribosomal RNA", at positions 556 to 1398 of the family's 1533-position model. The record is from RNAcentral.